GAUGAACGCUAGCGGCAGGCCUAAUACAUGCAAGUCGAGGGGCAGCACGGUAGCAAUACUGGUGGCGACCGGCGCACGGGUGCGUAACACGUAUGCAACCUGCCUUCAACUGGGAGAUAGCCCGGGGAAACUCGGAUUAAUACCCCAUAACACAGUGAAACAGCAUUGUUUAUUGUUAAAGCUCCGGCGGUUGAAGAUGGGCAUGCGUUCGAUUAGCUAGUUGGUGUAGGUAAUGGCUCACCAAGGCUACGAUCGAUAGGGGGUCUGAGAGGAUGAUCCCCCACACUGGUACUGAGAUACGGACCAGACUCCUACGGAGGCAGCAGUAGGGAAUAUUGGUCAAUGGACGCAAGUCUGAACCA
RNAcentral lists this ribosomal RNA (362 nucleotides) under uncultured bacterium. RNAcentral describes it as "bacterial SSU rRNA". It matches the Rfam family "Bacterial small subunit ribosomal RNA", at positions 28 to 390 of the family's 1533-position model. The record is from RNAcentral.